GGGUCAGUAGGUUGGUCGUGCCACCGGUACGUACUGGUCUCACUGAUUCCUCCUUCCUGAAGAACCGUAAUGCCAUUAAUUUGGUGUCGCGGGUAAACAGGACUGUUACUUUGAAAAAAUUAGAGUGUUUAAAGCAAGCUAACGCUUGAAUACAUUAGCAUGGAAUAAUGAAAUAGGACGAUCGAUCCUAUUUUGUUGGUUUCUAGGAUUGACGUA
This 216-nucleotide ribosomal RNA is filed under the name Glomeromycotina sp. Its description in RNAcentral is "partial small subunit ribosomal RNA". The stretch from base 40 to 216 matches the Rfam family "Eukaryotic small subunit ribosomal RNA", at positions 686 to 864 of the family's 1831-position model. Lineage: Eukaryota; Fungi; Glomeromycota. The record is from RNAcentral.